AUAAUCGUCACUGAUGUUGGCCGUGAGCGGGAAUGGAACUCGGGUCGCCGGGUAGCGCUAACCGCGACCCCACCGCUCCCCGAUGGCCACCCUGUAUAUACACACACCCACACACAAGAGAAAUCGAGAUGAUGUCGACUUAAAGUGUUAGCGCCAGCGGGCCACUGGCGGCCCCUGGUGGGCCUUUGGUGUGGCCCCUGACAAUUCACAAAUAUGAAAACACCGCCCAUGGUGCUGUCAAACGCCCCAAACGGUCGCGAAUGCGUGGCGACCCUCACACAUCGAUGAUGUCUUAUUGGCGAAACUUCCACUCCCUCCGGAACCCUCUCUCUGAAAACGAGUGAAGAAUAUCGCUGGCGUGCUCUCGUGAUUCCCAGAGAUGAUUCUCAGAGGUGAUUCUCAGAGAUGAUUUCCAGAGAUGAUUCUCAGAGAUGAUUCCCAGAGAUGAUUCCCAGAGAUGAUUCCCAGAGAUUAUUCUCAGAGAUGAUUCCCAGAGAUGAUUCUCAGAGAUGAUUCCCAUAGGUGAUUCUCAGAGAUGAUUCCCAGAGAUGAUUCUCAGAGAUGAUUCUCAGAGGUGAUUCCCAGAGAUGAUUCUCAGAGAUGAUUCUCAGAGAUUAUUCUCAGAGGUGAUUCCCAGAGAUGAUUCUCAGAGAUGAUUCCCAGAGGUGAUUCCCAGAGAUGAUUCCCAGAGAUGAUUCUCAGAGAUUAUUCCCAGAGAUGAUUCCCAGAGAUGAUUCCCAGAGAUGAUUCCCAGAGACGAUUCUCAGAGAUGAUUCCCAGAGAUUAUUCUCAGAGAUGAUUCUCAGAGAUGAUUCCCAGAGAUUAUUCUCCGAGAUGAUUCCCAGAGAUGAUUCCCAGAGAUGAUUCCCAGAGAUUAUUCUCAGAGAUGAUUCCUAGAGAUGAUUCCUAGAGAUGAUUCCCAGAGAUUAUUCUCAGAGAUGAUUCCCAGAGAUUAUUCGCAGAGGUGAUUCCCAGAGAUUAUUCUCAGAGGUGAUUCCCAGAGAUUAUUCUCAGAGAUGAUUCCCAGAGAUGAUUCCCAGAGGUGAUUCCCAGAGAUUAUUCUCAGAGGUGAUUCUCAGAGAUGAUUCCCAGAGAUGAUUCCCAGAGAUGAUUCCCAGAGAUUAUUCUCAGAGAUGAUUCCCAUAGAUGAUUCUCAGAGAUGAUUCUCAGAGAUUAUUCUCAGAGAUGAUUCUCAGAGAUGAUUCUCAGAGAUGAUUCCCAGAGAUGAUUCUCAGAGAUGAUUCCCAGAGAUGAUUCCCAGAGAUCAUUCUCAGAGGUCAUUCCCAGAGAUUAUUCUCAGAGAUGAUUCUCAGAGAUUAUUAUCAGAGAUGAUUCCCAGAGAUGAUUCUCAGAGAUGAUUCCCAGAGAUGAUUCUCAGAGAUGAUUCCCAGAGGUGAUUCCCAGAGAUGAUUCUCAGAGAUUAUUCCCAUAGAUGAUUCCCAGAGAUGAUUCCCAUAGAUGAUUCUCAGAGGUGAUUCCCAGAGAUUAUUCCCAGAGAUCUUAGUCCUCGUGAUGCUGAGAAAUCGGAGCUCCCGUUGCAUCCGCUUCCCCGUGACGCCCCGCCCCCCGCCCCCCGCCCCGCCCCCCGCCCUCGGUCUCACCUACGCGGUGGUGCACUGCUCGCUGCGCCAAGCUGCGAGGCGCCGCCCCGUCACCACCCUCGCCUCUUGACGACAUCCGCACCUGGAGUGACACAGGCAGCCGCGUGCCGCACGCGGCGAGGCCGAUUGGUUUGCGUCGCAUCGCCGCGCGCGUGCGUCGUAGGAGCGGUCGUGGGAGCGGUGGGUGUAGCGGUUAGCGCAGCGCUGCGCUUCGAAGCCCGGCCACCCGGGUUCGAUCCACGCUCACGGCCAACACCCAGUGACGGUUAUCUGAACCGGACCUGGGCCUCCCCUAGGUCGACUCGGCCUCAAAUGAGAACGAGGGAGAAGUGGCAAUGUCGUACAAGCCUCCAAAAGACACGGGCCGCCCCCCCCUUCGUGUAGCCUUAACAGACCGCUAGGGGCAAGUGCUGUGCGUGAGGACCUGUGAAGGUCCGGCACGGCACACGAGGGGGUGGGUGGCCAGCACCAGGCCCGGCCGCCUUUGUCUCCCCAGUGGCGAUGCUUUACACACCGCACCAGGUAAUUAUUCGCCACCGUUCUUGCUGCCUGAUAUUGUCACUACCAGCGAAACGUCGUACCUCCAAAUUGGUGCUGCUGCUGCUGCUACUGAAGGAGUGAAUAAUAUAUCGGCCACAUUUGUUCACCGCGUGGUAACUAUCCAUAGGCUGCCGUGUCGGGUGGAGGAAGAGUGCACGACACAGAGAUUUAACUGGCGUGGCGAUCUGACCCCCUUCCGAUCUGACCCCCUUCCGAAAAAUUGUUCCAUCAUGAAUCGGAAAUAAAUAAAUGUCACCACCACCAUCACCACCGCCACCACCACCAUUAUCAUCAUCGUGUUGCGUCCGAAACGUCGUCAUUUAUGUUUGUUUUAUUUCUACCUACCACGUGACUUUACCGAAAGAACCAAAGAGUGUUGGAUUUCUGCAGUCACGAAAGCUUCAAAUCAAGAUCAUCAUCACCACCAUCAUCAUCACCAAGGCUAGAAGUUCAGGCCUGGGAGGACGCGUGAUUUUUAAUGUGAGCUCGCUUCCGUGACCGCGGCGACGAUGAUGAUGAUGUACCGGCUCCUGGGUCCAUGUGCCUGCUUCUGUGCCACGCUACAGCUGCUGCUGCUGUGCGAUGUCUGGUCUUGGGCUGCUGCUGCUGCUGCUACUGCUGCUGCUACCGUUGUUUCUGUGUAUCGGUGUUUGCGAUAUCGAGGCUGCUUCAUAGGCGUCGUUCGUGUUCGUGUCUCCGCGUGCUCGCCUGACGCAGCGAUUGUCCGGGUGCGGUUUUUUUUUCUUCCGCUCGAAACCUCCCCGCGUGGACGGAGUAAAGCGACGCGUGGGGAGACGAAUCCUCAAGACCCUUCUCAAGUUUGUGGGUGGGCGGUGGCGGUGGUGGGGGUGGUGGGAGGGGAUUCUGGAAAUGUCAAGCUAUUUAAACAGUGCCCCUCCCCCGCCCCCCCCCCCCCCCGCCCCCCCCCCCCCGUACAUUGAUGAAUUUGAAUCAAUAAUCAGAUUAAUUCGAUGAUGUAUGAUUUUUUUGUUGUACCCGUCGAUUAUCAAUAAGAUGUGCGCGAUAAUAUGAAUGCAUCGAUUAAACCUCGUGUUGCCACCUCUGCGGUACAGAAAUCCGGGACUCGUUGCAUUGA
Molecule: non-coding RNA, 3237 nt
Organism: Petromyzon marinus (sea lamprey)
Lineage: Eukaryota; Metazoa; Chordata; Hyperoartia; Petromyzontiformes; Petromyzontidae
Source: RefSeq, a predicted model, not a curated record